UAGCAUAUAAGCAUACCAUACAUUGCUAGAGACCCACAAGAAAUCGAGCGCUCUCAUUGGCCGUAUUACAUUGUGAUAACAUUAUACAAUUAUCAAUAUUCAAUGUUUUGAAAUUAUAUGUUUUUUUUUGAAACUAUAUUAUUUACGGUAUUAUUUACAAAAAAAUAAAAAUAUGAUUUAUCCAGCAUCAUUUAAACAUGAAAUUGUCAAAGAAGACGAUGUUAAUAUUAUUUUAAGGUGUGACGCAAAAUCUAUUCAGGAUAUUAAUGUAUGGGUUGCUGAGUUAGGUAGACUUAAUUAUAUACAUUGGAACGUUCGUUCGACUAUUCCAAAUGGGCAGCGAAUUAAGUGUUCCAAAAAGUUUGUUUGUCAACACAGUGCUUUUCAGAAGCCUAGUGCAUUAGCAAACCAAAAAGGCUUGUCCAAAAAUGCAGAGUGUCCAGCAAGCUUAAAAGCUGUUAUUAAACUGGACACAGUAUCUACGAGGAAGAAAGAUCCAUUUAUUAAGGUAUUCACAUUAUACAAUUAAGCUUAUAAUUAAUGUUUUUGUUUUUUUUGUUUAGCUUGUGAAUUAGUGAAUUCUUCCAGAUCAUCUCUGGUGAUAUAUUAUCCUAUUAUUAUUUAAAAUUUAUUAUUUGUCAAUGGGUAAUAAUACAAAAAGUUAAGUCGUUGUAAAGUUAAGCCAUAACACUUGCAAGCUCUUAAAACAUAAACAAUUUAAAUUAUGUCUGACUAAUAAAAAUAAAUAGUUUUUUUUCACAGGUUCCUAAUAAGUGUUAUAUUUGUAAAAUAAAAAUUAAUUCUACAUUUUUACAGAUUGGUCAAUGGGUAAUAAUACAAAAGUUAAGUCGUUGUAAAAUUAAUCCAUAACACUUGUAUGAUUUUAAAGUAUAAACAAUUUAUAAAAUAAAUGUAUUAAAUAAUUA
This 926-nucleotide unclassified non-coding RNA is filed under the name Acyrthosiphon pisum (pea aphid). RNAcentral's name for it is "uncharacterized LOC100575809, transcript variant X1". The record is from RNAcentral. Lineage: Eukaryota; Metazoa; Arthropoda; Insecta; Hemiptera; Aphididae.